UCCGAGUUGUAAUUUGCAGAGGGCGCUUUGGCAUCGGCGGCGGUCUAAGUUCCUUGGAACAGGACAUCGCAGAGGGUGAGAAUCCCGUACGUGGGCGCCUGCCUUUGCCGUGUAAAGCCCCUUCGACGAGUCGAGUUGUUUGGGAAUGCAGCUCUAAAUGGGAGGUAAAUUUCUUCUAAAGCUAAAUACCGGCCAGAGACCGAUAGCGCACAAGUAGAGUGAUCGAAAGAUGAAAAGUACUUUGGAAAGAGAGUCAAAUAGCACGUGAAAUUGUUGAAAGGGAAGCGCUUGCAGCCAGACGUGCGCGCGGUUGCUCACCCCGGCUCUCGCCUGGGGCACUCUUCCGCGCGCAGGCCAGCAUCAGUUCGGGCGGUCGGAUAAAGGCCUCUGUCAAGUACCUUCCCCCGGGAAGGCCUUAUAGGGGAGGCGCAAUGCGACCAGCCCGGACUGAGGUCCGCGCAUCUGCUAGGAUGCUGGCGUAAUGGCUGUAAGCGGCCCGUCUUGAAACACGGACCAAGGAGUCUAACAUCUAUGCGAGUGUUUGGGUGUCAAGCCCGGGCGCGCAAUGAAAGUGAACGGAGGUGGGAUCCCCUUCCGGGGUGCACCAUCGACCGAUCCUGAUGUCUUCGGAUGGAUUUGAGUAAGAGCAUAGCUGUUGGGACCCGAAAGAUGGUGAACUAUGCUUGAAUAGGGUGAAGCCAGAGGAAACUCUGGUGGAGGCUCGCAGCGGUUCUGACGUGCAAAUCGAUCGUCAAA
RNAcentral lists this ribosomal RNA (756 nucleotides) under Montagnula donacina. RNAcentral's name for it is "LSU rRNA". It matches the Rfam family "Eukaryotic large subunit ribosomal RNA", at positions 137 to 909 of the family's 3401-position model. Lineage: Eukaryota; Fungi; Ascomycota; Dothideomycetes; Pleosporales; Didymosphaeriaceae. The record is from RNAcentral.